UAUCUGACAAGAGCAAUCUGUGUUGUCAUGUGGCUGGAAGUUGCUGACUCUGAUUCUCACGGGUCUCAGAAACACCAGGCAGAAAGGAUGCUGCUAAAGAUGAGUAUGGGAAGAAGAGAGAGCCCUGCACCCAGCAAGAGGAGGCAUGCGAGCCUAAGGUUAAUGCCCAGGAGUUAAGUGGCACCCAGGGCGGGCACACCCAACCAAACAGGAGCUAAGUCCAUCGAGACUUAAAUUCUAACUACAUGUACUUUUAUCAAUGUUAAACAUCUAACCCUUUAAGAAAAAUAAAGUUGGAACAUUUUCAUAUAGUUAACACAGCUGGGGAUUUCCUCACUCUUUUUGCCCUAGCUCAUACCUUCAAUGUUUAAGCUCCAGAAUUGGCACGCUGUUCAAAAGGAAAAUCUAAUGGGACCAUUUUGCCCUAAUUUCAGGAGUCUAAGAGAACAGAGAAAACAUGAUUAAAGUCAAUGAUUUUAUUGAGGGAG
Long non-coding RNA from Phyllostomus discolor (pale spear-nosed bat), 488 nucleotides. RefSeq lists it as uncharacterized. The record is from RefSeq and is a predicted model, not a curated record. Lineage: Eukaryota; Metazoa; Chordata; Mammalia; Chiroptera; Phyllostomidae. The transcript has 3 exons.